AACACAAGGUUUAUGACCAUAAAAGGAAGGUUGGAAUUGAUUUUGGGAGUUUUGGUCCCAACAGUUUAGGAAUUAGGGGCCCGAAGGGUCCAAAAUUAAACUUUGUUAGAUUUCAUCAAAAAUUGAAUAAUUGGGGUUCUUUGAUAUGCCGUAUCUAACUGUGUAUGUAGAUUCUUAAUUUUUGGUCCCGUUUUCAAAUUGGUCUACAUUAAGGUCCAAAGGGUCC
RNAcentral lists this long non-coding RNA (226 nucleotides) under Mytilus galloprovincialis (Mediterranean mussel). The record is from RNAcentral. Lineage: Eukaryota; Metazoa; Mollusca; Bivalvia; Mytilida; Mytilidae.